UAAGGGAAGCCAGGGGGACUCAAGGGGGACCAGGGGUUCCGAGUGGAGAUGAGGGGUUCUGGGGGUACUCGAGGAGGGCUGGGAGCCACGGGGACUUGAAAGAUGCUGGAACUCGAGCAGGUCUGGGGGUUCUGAGGGGAGCCAGGGACAUUGAGGGUCACAGGAUUUGUGUGAAGGGAUCCUGCAGCUCGAGCCAGAUGUGUAAUCCUGACACUGAUCAGAGCAAACGCAGGUAAUGGCUGGAAAAACGCAGUUUGCUCCUUCUCAGCGUUACCACAACUCAACACCUCCCAAAACUCCAGAGCCUCGCUCAGACCGUGACACACUUUGCCUGGGACGCAGGUGAAAUACUCCAAAUAUAAUGCACAAGAAGCAUUCAUCUCUGGAAUAAAUCUCACUUAGUGAAGUUUUUGGAACCAGUACAGUCAUGUCUUGGUAAUGUUAAGAAAAUUGACAGAGAAAGCAGCCAGAUUCCCUUACAAUGAAUUUUGGGACACAAGUGGGCUUGUUGCCUUGCUCCUCCUGGAAGCAUCUCUUUUGGAGAUACUGAAUGUGGUAAAAUGCAGUGCUGCAGCACUUCCUGUGUUAAAAAAAGCUGAUUUUUAAUGACCUGCUGUAUUACCAUCCGAGCAGACAGGGGUUUGUAUGUGCAGCUGGGAAUCUGUUUUUGUGCUCUGCAUGAGUAUUGGGGCAGGUUUCUGGGCUGGGCCUCAGAGAAAUAAAUCAAAACUAAACCAAAUCUCUGGUUAAGGCCUCAAACUGUCUCCUGUGGGGCUUUAAGUCUCUCUUUAUUACUGGAAUGCUUUUUCACAGAACUGGAAGUUCAGUAUUUCUGAGGCUUUCCUAAGUGAGGGAAAGAAUUAUUGCAGUAGAGGUCUAUCAUUCUUUAUUACAGUUUUUUUAAUACCACCCAGCUAAUUUUCCUGAAUUUGUUCAUUAUGAUUUUCCCUCCUGAAAUAGAUUCUGUAAUUAACAGUUUGUAUCUUUACAUUCACGUUUCCCACAGGCCAGGCUGGAGGGGGCUUGGAGCAAGCUGGACUCGUGGAAGGUGUCCCCGCCUGGUGUCCAGGAACCAGGACAUUCUGGGAAGCUUCCCAAGGUGGUUUGCAUCACACUUUUGUCACAGCUGACUUGGACCCUUUGGAACUGGAAACGAGGCUUGGUUCGGGCAGUGCCUCUAAAAAGCAUUCUGAGUGUUGGACAUUCCCACACAGAAAAGUCCCCUUGUGAACCCAGUGAAACAGAGAAGCACAGAAACUCCCAAGCACUGCUCUUUUCCAGGAGCUGGGAUGCUGAGCUCUGGGGUUCCUUUUAUCAAAAGCCAAAAGGGACAGAAACCCCUGUGGGGACAGCCCUGCACUGACACUGCUCUGGGCACACCUCAAAGUGGCAGCGUCAGAAGGGCACAAGGGGACCUCAUCCAAGGCCCCAGAUCCACCUUCCUGGUGCAUUCAGAAGGUGCUGCUGGGGGAGUUAACACUGAUUUUAAACCUCUAAAGGUCAGAGAUUUAUUUUUAAUGAAUUAUUUUUCCCAGGCUUCUUAAAUCUAAUGAUCAACUGUCCAUAUUUGUAGUGAUUGCAAGGUUUGAGAGGCAGCAGAGUAAAUCUGGUGUAGGUAUAAAUUGUCUUUUUUUGGCAAUUUAUACCUCCUUGGAAGGGAGGGGAGUGACAUUAAUAUUUCAUGUGGUUGGGAGAGGAAAUGCCUGGCAGUCCCAGGGGAAGAGUCACAGCACCUGUGCUGAGCUCACCCAGGUUUUUUGGCAGGAAUGAUCUGAUUGCUCAUCAUGAAUGGAACAGAAAAUAAUUCUGACACGAAGCAAGAGGAGCCUGGCUCAGGAGGUGCCAUCGCUGCAAUCAGAGCGGGUUUCAGUGAGCUGGAGAAGGAACAUGUGGAGCCCAGGAGCAGCUCUGAGGAUUUGUCCUGCCUCGUGGGAAGAAGGUGAGUCCUGGAGGUCCCCUAAGAAAUUACAAAAUUUUCCAAAAUUUUCCAAUCUGGAAUGACCUUUCCUUGACACUCUGGCCUAGGGAAAAUUCCCUUCACAUUUCCUGAGUGGGGAUGAGCUGGCUGUGGUGCCAGGAAAGGUGAGGGGAAUAUUUCAG
This is a long non-coding RNA of Poecile atricapillus (Black-capped chickadee), 2100 nucleotides long. RefSeq lists it as uncharacterized. Lineage: Eukaryota; Metazoa; Chordata; Aves; Passeriformes; Paridae. The transcript has 6 exons. The record is from RefSeq and is a predicted model, not a curated record.